GAUGAAGAACGUAGCGAAAUGCGAUAAGUAAUGUGAAUUGCAGAAUUCAGUGAAUCAUCGAAUCUUUGAACGCACAUUGCGCCCGCUAGUAUUCUGGCGGGCAUGCCUGUCCGAGCGUCAUUUCAACCCUCAAGCCCCCGGGCUUGGUGUUGGGGAUCGGCGAGCCUCCGCGCCCGCCGUCCCCUAAAUCUAGUGGCGGUCUCGCUGUAGCUUCCUCUGCGUAGUAGCACACCUCGCACUGGGAAACAGCGCGGCCACGCCGUUAAACCCCCAACUUCUGAACGUUUGACAUCGGAUCAGGUAGGAAUACCCGCUGAACUUAAGCAUAUCAAAAGCGGAGGA
Molecule: unclassified non-coding RNA, 342 nt
Filed under: soil metagenome
Description: partial contains 5.8S ribosomal RNA, internal transcribed spacer 2, and large subunit ribosomal RNA
Rfam family: 5.8S ribosomal RNA (bases 1-120)
Source: RNAcentral